Bufo bufo (common toad) is the source of this 411-nucleotide long non-coding RNA. RefSeq lists it as uncharacterized. NCBI's taxonomy places the organism in Eukaryota, Metazoa, Chordata, Amphibia, Anura, Bufonidae. The transcript has 3 exons. The record is from RefSeq and is a predicted model, not a curated record.
GGAGAAGACCGGCUUCGCAUUUAGGCUUCAAGCUUGAAAGGGACCAGUGUCUGCCAAACGUGACGUACAGACUCCACAUCUACUGACCAUCCAUAUUGAAUAUCUGCACAGAUUAAGUAUUCGAGAACUUAGCAUCUCAGAUUCUAACCAUGAACUAUGAACACUUGGACAGUGAAUUACAAAAAAAUCUAUGCUAUUUGUACUGGGACAUAGCCAACAUCCCAGAGCUAUUGGCAUUAUCUCCUAGCGCAAGCCACCCUACUGCCAUCCAGUACUCCAGCUUUUUACUGUCCAUUGUCACUUGCAUCAUGGGAUUUGCCGGCAACAUUGUUGUCAUCUUCGUCACUGGAUUCUUAAGGAAGAAGAACAAAUCUCAAAUCUGGUUCCUGAAUUUGGCCAUAGCAGACUUCA